UACGUAGGGGGCUAGCGUUGUCCGGAAUCAUUGGGCGUAAAGCGCGUGUAGGCGGCCCGGUAAGUCCGCUGUGAAAGUCGGGGGCUCAACCCUCGGAUGCCGGUGGAUACUGUCGGACUAGAGUACGGAAGAGGCGAGUGGAAUUCCUGGUGUAGCGGUGAAAUGCGCAGAUAUCAGGAGGAACACCGAUUGCGAAGGCAGCUCGCUGGGACGUUACUGACGCUGAGACGCGAAAGCGUGGGGAGCAAACAGG
RNAcentral lists this ribosomal RNA (253 nucleotides) under uncultured bacterium. RNAcentral describes it as "partial 16S ribosomal RNA". It matches the Rfam family "Bacterial small subunit ribosomal RNA", at positions 524 to 776 of the family's 1533-position model. The record is from RNAcentral.